GACGAACGCUGGCGGCGUGCCUAAUACAUGCAAGUCGAACGCUUCUUUCCUCCCGAGUGCUUGCACUCAAUUGGAAAGAGGAGUGGCGGACGGGUGAGUAACACGUGGGUAACCUACCCAUCAGAGGGGGAUAACACUUGGAAACAGGUGCUAAUACCGCAUAACAGUUUAUGCCGCAUGGCAUAAGAGUGAAAGGCGCUUUCGGGUGUCGCUGAUGGAUGGACCCGCGGUGUAUUAGCUAGUUGGUGAGGUAACGGCUCACCAAGGCCACGAUGCAUAGCCGACCUGAGAGGGUGAUCGGCCACACUGGGACUGAGACACGGCCCAGACUCCUACGGGAGGCAGCAGUAGGGAAUCUUCGGCAAUGGACGAAAGUCUGACCGAGCAACGCCGCGUGAGUGAAGAAGGUUUUCGGAUCGUAAAACUCUGUUGUUAGAGAAGAACAAGGACGUUAGUAACUGAACGUCCCCUGACGGUAUCUAACCAGAAAGCCACGGCUAACUACGUG
Molecule: ribosomal RNA, 508 nt
Filed under: uncultured bacterium
Lineage: Bacteria
Description: partial 16S ribosomal RNA
Rfam family: Bacterial small subunit ribosomal RNA
Source: RNAcentral